Molecule: ribosomal RNA, 303 nt
Filed under: uncultured eukaryote
Lineage: Eukaryota
Description: partial 18S ribosomal RNA
Rfam family: Eukaryotic small subunit ribosomal RNA
Source: RNAcentral
CAAUAGCGUAUAUUAAAGUUGUUGCAGUUAAAAAGCUCGUAGUUGGAUUUCAAGAAACGCAUCCAGAAAUGGAUUGCUUUCUACCAGUCUUUGACUGUUACUGUGAGAAAAUUAGAGUGUUUCAAGCAGGCUUUGCAGGAAUACAUUAGCAUGGAAUAACGCGUGUGUCUACAAUUUGGUUGAUUGUAGAUUACGAUUAAUAGGGACAGUUGGGGGCAUUAGUAUUUAAUAGUCAGAGGUGAAAUUCUUGGAUUUGUUAAAGACUAACGUAUGCGAAAGCAUUUGCCAAGGAUGUUUUCAUUA